This 441-nucleotide ribosomal RNA is filed under the name uncultured bacterium. Its description in RNAcentral is "partial 16S ribosomal RNA". It matches the Rfam family "Bacterial small subunit ribosomal RNA", at positions 339 to 795 of the family's 1533-position model. The record is from RNAcentral.
CUACGGGUUGCUGCAGUGGGGAAUAUUGGGCAAUGGGCGCAAGCCUGACCCAGCAACGCCGCGUGAGGGAAGAAGGUUUUCGGAUUGUAAACCUCUGUCCUUGGGGACGAAGAAGUGACGGUACCCAAGGAGGAAGCUCCGGCUAACUACGUGCCAGCAGCCGCGGUAAUACGUAGGGAGCAAGCGUUGUCCGGAAUUACUGGGCGUAAAGGGUGCGUAGGCGGCAUAUUAAGUCAGGUGUGAAAUACUCGGGCUCAACCCGGGGGCUGCAUUUGAAACUGAUAUGCUAGAGUGUGAGAGAGGAAAGUGGAAUUCCUAGUGUAGCGGUGGAAUGCGUAGAUAUUAGGAGGAACACCAGUGGCGAAGGCGACUUUCUGGCUCAUAACUGACGCUGAGGCACGAAAGCGUGGGGAGCUAACAGGAUUAGAUACCCGGGUAGUC